RNAcentral lists this non-coding RNA (23 nucleotides) under Arabidopsis thaliana (thale cress). The record is from RNAcentral. Lineage: Eukaryota; Viridiplantae; Streptophyta; Magnoliopsida; Brassicales; Brassicaceae.
UAAACCGAUUGUCUGCGGUAAAC